UCUUUCAAGAUAUCGGGACUAUCAGCUAAUCCAUAUCUCUAUACCAUUACAAAGGUAGUAAUACUUUCGGCCCUCUCAGGAGUUCUUUCUGAAAUGCUUGGAUUCAAACUUAAGUUGCACAAGAUCAAAAUCAAGUAAAAAUGUUGGGAAUAAUGGGACUCAACUUCUUUAAACAUCCAGGACGAGGAUACAGGAAGAGUGCAGUUGCAAUGUUUCUUAAAAUAUUGGAGACUGCUCUGACUUAGCAGAAUGCUUAAAGUUUCAGAGUAUGACAUGAACUAGGUUUGUUUUACACUUCAUUUCUUUGUUCGAGAACAAAUGAAAUCAAAAGAAAAGGAAACAAACUUUUAGUUGGUGCUGGAAUAGAAAUGUAGUGAAAGUCCUUUACAUCAGAACUGUCAUUUGCUGGAUUUAUUGUUAUGUAAAAUACAGCAGAUAGAAAUCAGUACACUGUAAUGUGUAGGGUUGUGACUACCAAUUAUGAUAGCAUAGCUGCAUAAAUGAAUUAGUAAGGCAGUUGAUCGUGAUUGACAAUUAUGAUAGCAUGUCUGCAUAAAUAAAUUGGUAAGGCAGUACUACUCUGCACUGGCAUUAUUAUAUUUGAUUAACAUAAUGCUUUUUGUACAUAGAAAUACUGGAACUUGGGCAUGUUGGCACAAUAUAAAUGAGUUAUCUGUGAUAGACCACAGAUUUUUAUAGGUUUUGUUUGAAUAGUGAUUGACAAAUGUGUGCUUCCUUGGUACUGUGUUAACUGGUAACCUUGACUUGUAGAGUUUCAUUUUAUGUUUUAGGGACUAUAGAACAAGAUCUGCAAUGAUGAGAUAUUAUGUGUACAUAUUUUAUUGCAAUAGAGUACUGUAAGUGGCAGCUAAGAGGCAUAUAAUGCCAAGAGAUCUCAAUGUGAUAAUACAUGUUAAAUAGUGUAUCACAGCUUUAAAUAGGCUCAAAAACACCAACCAGGAUUUGUGUAUGCUAUUUUGUUGUUUGUGGAAUGCAUGAAGCUGAAAUCCUAAUUGGUUGUGAGUUUUUCCUUGUGUACAACUAUUGUCAUAUUUGUUAAGAUUAUGAAAUUGUGUGUUCCAAAAGUGAACAUCUUAAGUAUUUAGUGAAAUAUCUGUGUGAUGUUCAGUUGCUUAAAAGUGUUUGUAUCAAACAUUCAGCUAAAUAAAGACAAAUGUAUGAA
Molecule: long non-coding RNA, 1183 nt
Organism: Schistocerca serialis cubense
Lineage: Eukaryota; Metazoa; Arthropoda; Insecta; Orthoptera; Acrididae
Exons: 3
Source: RefSeq, a predicted model, not a curated record